GGGCUCCGAAUCGGAACGAUGGUGGGGAGUGAUGAUGAGAUUCCUGGCGGGCUGGCGAACAAAAUCUCCAGUACUCUCUUGAGAUAGUAAAGGUUGUGGGAACAAAAGGAGGCAUAGGGUGUGUAAGAGGAGCGGGAAGGCCAUGAGAGAUUUACUAAAUUUCUUCAUUUUGUUGUUUUGGCUUGAACUUGUUAAUGGAUGUAACUUGUAGCUGUGAGUGAAGGGUCUUAAUAGGGAGGACGAGAUAUAUAAUGGGGUUGCAGAAAGAAGACUUGUUGAGAUGAAACUCAUUUAUUUAAAAUAGCAAUUUUUUGUUCACUUGGAUUGGGGGAGGCCGGGAGGGUACGUGCUUGCAUGUGUUUCCUAGUAUAAGAUUUGUGAAAAAUAUGUUAUCUUAAGAGUUCCAGCAAAGACCAACUGGAAGUCUAUAUUCCAUCGUACUUAAACCUUGUUUGUUUAAGAGAGUACAUCACUAAUCCCCUCACCACGUUGUGUAUGCAAUAAACGAUAAGUAACUGAUCACGAAAUAUGUUUUAUUAAUUAAUUUCCAUAUAUAGAUAAUAAUUGAACCGAACCUCAUAUAUAUGAUUUAUGGGACGAUGCAAACUUAUCACCCACCACGUGUUUAGGGUCAAAAUUUACACAAUUAAUUCUAUAUAUGGACCGAACCUCAUAUAUAUGGUUUAUGAGACGAUGCAAACUUAUCACCACGCCACGUAUUUAGGGUGAAAAUUUACACAAUUAACUUCACAUAUGGAUAGGUAAGAAGGUGUGUUAGUGUGUAUAUAUAUAUAUAUAACCCGCCACACCGGUAAAAGUAAGUGGUGCUUGCCUCCAAUGGUCCAAUCACAGCAUUGUGGAUCUUCCCGGAGGUGUAGAAAAAAUAUUGAUACUUUGUAUGUUCCCCCUCUGCUUUUGCACUAUAUUCCCCUGCUUUUGUUCCGUACUCGACUAUAGUUUCAGCGUCCUUGUCUUCUGUUAUCCACGAUACUCUCAUCUUAUCUUUCCCCACCAAUGAAAUAUGCACCUGCACAUUAAUAACAUACAGCUUGCAUAAAAUUGAUACCUUGUGAAAAUUGAAAUCAUGCAACUAACUUAAUUAUGUACGGUGAAUUACCUGUUGGGGCUCCGAAUCGGAACGAUGGUGGGGAGUGAUGAUGAGAUUCCUGGCGGGCUGGCGAACAAAAUCUCCAGUACUCUCUUGAGAUAGUAAAGGUUGUGGGAACAAAAGGAGGCAUAGGGUGUGUAAGAGGAGCGGGAAGGCCAUGAGAGAUUUACUAAAUUUCUUCAUUUUGUUGUUUUGGCUUGAACUUGUUAAUGGAUGUAACUUGUAGCUGUGAGUGAAGGGUCUU
This 1352-nucleotide long non-coding RNA is filed under the name Lotus japonicus. Its description in RNAcentral is "long non-coding RNA (LJAP_LNC000940)". Lineage: Eukaryota; Viridiplantae; Streptophyta; Magnoliopsida; Fabales; Fabaceae. The record is from RNAcentral.